AAUUAUGUGUCUGUCUCCCCAACUGGACUGAUUGCUCCACCAAAGGAAGAAGAGCUGCCAGGUCCUGGGAGAACAAGAACAGUGCUUUCUCCAAAUUUUAACAGGAGUACACGGUGGGAGUGAGAGCUAGUUUUCCUGUAGUAGAAGCUGAAGACAGAGUAAAAAUAAUUAACUCAUGGGAAAAAUAAAUAAACAAACAAUUGGACUCAGCCAGAGGAAAAAGAUAGUUAAAACCAAAACAUGUAACGCAACCUAGAACAGUCUGUGUAAUCUAGCCUCUGCUGUCAACUUAAUCUACCAUCACGUGCCCCAUUAUUCACGGGGCUCCACCUUGUAUUCCAGUUGUUCCUCUCUGGAACAUUUUAUGUCUUUUCUCUCUGAGGGACUCAGCUCUUGGUAUUUGCCUUGCUCAGAAAUCUCUUCCAUAGAUCUUCACAAUGGCCGGCUUGUCUUAGGUCUUAGUUCAAAUAUCACCCGCUCAGAGAGACCUUGCCUGACUUCCACUAUAUACAUGGAGGGUUUCCAGAACAAAUGAAGGUAUUGAACAAAUGAGCUCCAUAAAAAUGGAAACAGGGUGCUCUGCUUGGUUUUUCAGAAAAAUGGAAAUAGCGGCCUCACACAUAGAGUUGACAUUCCUGAGAUUAUCCAGUAGAUCUGGACUCUGGAGCUCUGAGUCUAAAUGUACUGCUAUCCAGACAGAGUCUGCAGAGGGACCUCUUGUCAUUAACUACUGUGCACCUACAAUUUGUUAUCAAUGAAAUGUGUGUAGCUUUUAUUUCAUGGCCUUGGGAAGCAUCCUUAAAUCUUUUAUCCUUUAGUUUCUUCAUCUGAGGUUAACAAUAUAUGUAUUUUGAAAGGCUAUAGAAACUGGGAAGAAACAUUUGCAACUUAUAGCACAAAGAGUUAAUAACCAUAAUAUGUAAAGAGCUUCAAAAAAUAUAGAAGAAAAAAGCCAACACAUCUAUGAAAAAUGGGUUGGAAAUAUGAGCAGAGAGUUCACAGAAAAAGAAAGGAAAAUGGAUCCUGCAUAUAUGAAAAGACUCUCAACCAUACUUUCAGUGAAUACACUUUCAAACUUCAUUGAGAUACAAUAUUCUCUCCUGUCAGGCUGACAAAAAUCUAAAAGAUUGACAGCAUAUUUUGUUGGUGAGGCUGUGGUGAAAUAGAUGCUUCCAUACAUUGCUAGUGGGAAUGUAAAAUGGCAUAAGCCUCAUGAAUGGGAAUUUGAUAUAUCUAGUAAAAUUACAUAUGCAUUUUCCCUUUGAUCCAGUAAUCCAACUUCUAGGAAUCUAUCCAAAAAUAUGUUGUAAAACUACACAAAUACUUUUAUAUGUGACUAUACAUUGCAGCAUUGUUUAUAAUAGCAAAAGCUUGGAAAUUGGUUGAAUAAGGCAAUGGAAGGUCCACUCAGUGGAAUACUAUGCAGCUAUAAACAACAAGAAGACGACCUCUGUAUUAGUCUGCUUUCAUGCUGCUGAUAAAGACAGAUUUGAGACUGGGCAAUUUAUAAAAGAGGUAUAUAAUGGACUUACAGUUCCACAUGGCUGGGGAAGCCUCACAAUCAUGGUGGAAGGUGAAAGGCACAUCUCACAUGGCAUCAGACAAGAGAAGAGAGCUUGUUCAGGGAAACUCCCCUUUUUAAAACCAUCAGAUCUUGUGAGACUCAUUCGCUGUCACGAGAAUAGCAUGGGAAACACCCGUCCCCGUAAUUCAAUCACCUCCCACGACAUGUGGAAAUUAUGGAAGUUUCAAUUCCAGAUGAGAUUUGGGUGGGGACACAGCCAAACCAUAUCAACCUCUAUACAUUGCCAUGAAGCGAUGACCCCAAUAACAUGUUCAGUGAGGAGAAUUCUUGGCCCUUGUGUAUUUUUUUUUUCUUUAAGUAAUCUGCAUUGAACAAGUCUUAAAUUUACAGUUAGAAAAAUCAAUAGUAUAUUUUGUUUUAUUUUGAAUUACCCAGAAGCUCAUGAACUUUCUGACCAAAAUCCUUUCCCAGAAAGUUUGUCAGUUGAGAACCUGUGAAGUCCAAUUCAUUUAUAUGUUAAGAUUUGUGCUAUGGGAUGUUGACAGCCUGGUGAAAUUGACCCAGCCUGGCAUGAUCCUGGAGUCUAUUUGAAAGGUGCAGGUUCAGAAAGCAGAGUGCUUCACAGGCUGCCACAUUCCUCUGAAGAUAAUCUGCAGGUUGUACCUGCUGCCACUAGGCUGUUAGGCUGCCUAGGGGAUGGUUGCUGGCUGGAUUAACCAGAUUUGCCAUUGGCAGGUGGGAGAUUUGCACCCCCAGAAUUAGGCUUGCUACUCCAUUAAGCUUUUGACCACCUAAUUUAAACCAUAUUAUUAUUUUCUAAAUAGGCAACACAUUUACAUUUUAAAAUGCAAAGAGUACAAAAAGAUAGGCCAUGAAAUGUCUUUCUGACCUGGUUCCCCAGGCAUGAAGUUUCCCUCCCAAAGGCAACUAAUCUGAUAGGAGAAUGAGGAAAGGAAGAGGAAGAAAGUCAAUAAGGCCAAUAUUGGGAAGGUUACACUUGAGGAGACCUGGGGCUCAAACCUUCUAGGGCACUGGGAGCCAGUGUAAAAUUUAUCCUGUCUUGUGGAUUUUAGAUAAUCUGUGUGUAUAGGGGAGAUAUUUUAUACAGCAGCAGCAGGCUAUCCACAUUGUGCCAUACCUCGCUUUUGUGUGACUUAAUAUCUCUUGGUAAUUGUUCCAUGUCAGUGCCCAAAAAGCUUCCUCAUUCUUUUUUUUGCAACUGUUCAGUUAUCUAUUUAUGGUUACAUCAUAUUAUAUUUAACCCAUUCUUUACUGGUGUCUGCUCCCAUUUGUUGUUCCAUUUUGAGCACCAGAUUUUAAAACUCAUUCCUAUAGGACACACAAAGGAUUUUAUUUCCUAGGAAGAGCUCCAUGGCUCCCUGACUUGCUCAACUGUUUUAAACCCCCACCCCACAUGGAAUAAGCACACUUCACCAUUCUCUCACAACAACAAUUAAGUCAACUUAUCUUUGAAUAAGUAGCUGGGGGUGGCGGGGACACACCCCUGAAGUGUGGGUUUAGGUUUGUUUGAUUGGG
This 3061-nucleotide long non-coding RNA is filed under the name Homo sapiens (human). RNAcentral describes it as "HSALNT0218727". The record is from RNAcentral. Lineage: Eukaryota; Metazoa; Chordata; Mammalia; Primates; Hominidae.